Molecule: transfer RNA, 67 nt
Filed under: Rozella allomycis CSF55
Lineage: Eukaryota; Fungi; Rozellomycota
Description: tRNA-Ser (CGA) (tRNA-Ser-CGA-2-1)
Rfam family: tRNA
About the family: Transfer RNA (tRNA) molecules are approximately 80 nucleotides in length. Their secondary structure includes four short double-helical elements and three loops (D, anti-codon, and T loops). Further hydrogen bonds mediate the characteristic L-shaped molecular structure. tRNAs have two regions of fundamental functional importance: the anti-codon, which is responsible for specific mRNA codon recognition, and the 3' end, to which the tRNAs corresponding amino acid is attached (by aminoacyl-tRNA synthetases). tRNAs cope with the degeneracy of the genetic code in two manners: having more than one tRNA (with a specific anti-codon) for a particular amino acid; and 'wobble' base-pairing, i.e. permitting non-standard base-pairing at the 3rd anti-codon position.
Source: RNAcentral
GCCUGUUUGUGGGGCGUUUANUUCGCCUUCCAAGCGAAAGACCUGGGUUCGAUUCCCAGCGAAUGCA